Molecule: non-coding RNA, 222 nt
Filed under: Bacillus sp. IT-13CA1
Lineage: Bacteria; Bacillati; Bacillota; Bacilli; Caryophanales; Bacillaceae
Description: Intron_gpI
Rfam family: Group I catalytic intron
About the family: Group I catalytic introns are large self-splicing ribozymes.
Source: RNAcentral
CUAUGCAGAUCAAAUGGGUUAAUUUGGCCCCUUUCGUCAGUAAUGGCGAUCGAAAACCUCUUUAAUUGCUGGGAACUCCUUAUAGGACAAUCAGCAGCGAAGCCUCAUUCGAGGAACGUUCAACGACUAGGCAAAAGCCGUAGGCUACAAGCGAUUGGUAGUCGAAACUGGAGGCAUCCCAAUGGGAUGAAGAUAUAGUCUAAUCUUCGUGGUAACAUGAAG